AGUUAUUUACUCGGAGUAAAGAUUGUUUUGAAAACAACCUUAAAGCGUUCGACUCGCUUAAUAACUU
This 67-nucleotide transfer RNA is filed under the name Solemya velesiana. RNAcentral describes it as "tRNA-Ser". Lineage: Eukaryota; Metazoa; Mollusca; Bivalvia; Solemyida; Solemyidae. The record is from RNAcentral.